RNAcentral lists this ribosomal RNA (498 nucleotides) under uncultured Glomeromycotina. RNAcentral's name for it is "partial small subunit ribosomal RNA". It matches the Rfam family "Eukaryotic small subunit ribosomal RNA", at positions 591 to 1091 of the family's 1831-position model. Lineage: Eukaryota; Fungi; Glomeromycota. The record is from RNAcentral.
CCAAUAGCGUAUAUUAAAGUUGUUGCAGUUAAAAAGCUCGUAGUUGAAUUUCGGGACCAAUAUGUCGGUCGUGCUUCGGUACGUACUUGCAUUAUUGGUUUCUCCCUUCUGACGAACCAUGAUGUCAUUAAUUUGGUGUCUUGGGGAAUCAGGACUGUUACUUUGAAAAAAUUAGAGUGUUUAAAGCAGGCUCACGCUUGAAUACAUUAGCAUGGAAUAAUGAAAUAGGACGUUUGAUUCUAUUUUGUUGGUUUCUAGGAUCGACGUAAUGAUUAAUAGGGAUAGUUGGGGGCAUUAGUAUUCAAUUGUCAGAGGUGAAAUUCUUGGAUUUAUUGAAGACUAACUACUGCGAAAGCAUUUGCCAAGGAUGUUUUCAUUAAUCAAGAACGAAAGUUAGGGGAUCGAAGACGAUCAGAUACCGUCGUAGUCUUAACCAUAAACUAUGCCGACUAGGGAUCGGAUGAUGUUAAUUUUUUAAUGACUCAUUCGGCGCCUUAC